This 374-nucleotide ribosomal RNA is filed under the name uncultured organism. RNAcentral's name for it is "bacterial SSU rRNA". It matches the Rfam family "Bacterial small subunit ribosomal RNA", at positions 526 to 896 of the family's 1533-position model. The record is from RNAcentral.
CGUAGGGUGCGAGCGUUUGUCCGGAAUUAUUGGGCGUAAAGAGCUUGUAGGCGGUUUGUCGCGUCUGCUGUGAAAAUCCGGGGCUCAACCCCGGACUUGCAGUGGGUACGGGCAGACUAGAGUGUGAUAGGGGAGACUGGAAUUCCUGGUGUAGCGGUGAAAUGCGCAGAUAUCAGGAGGAACACCGAUGGCGAAGGCAGGUCUCUGGGCCACUACUGACGCUGAGAAGCGAAAGCAUGGGGAGCGAACAGGAUUAGAUACCCUGGUAGUCCAUGCCGUAAACGUUGGGAACUAGGUGUGGGUCUCAUUCCACGAGAUCCGUGCCGCAGCUAACGCAUUAAGUUCCCCGCCUGGGGAGUACGGCCGCAAGGCUA